CGAUGAAGAACGCAGCGGGGGGAGCUUGCUCCCUGACGGCGAGUGGCGGACGGGUGAGUAACACGUAGGAAUCUACCUUAAUUAUAAUAGUUAGUGGGGGAUAACCCGGGGAAACUCGGGCUAAUACCGCAUAAUCUCUUCAAAGCAAAGCGGGGGAUCUUCGGACCUCGUGCUAUGAGAUGAGCCUGCGUCGGAUUAGCUAGUUGGUAGGGUAAUGGCCUACCAAGGCGACGAUCCGUAGCUGGUCUGAGAGGACGAUCAGCCACACUGGGACUGAGACACGGCC
This 286-nucleotide ribosomal RNA is filed under the name uncultured Coxiella sp. Its description in RNAcentral is "partial 16S ribosomal RNA". It matches the Rfam family "Bacterial small subunit ribosomal RNA", at positions 59 to 331 of the family's 1533-position model. Lineage: Bacteria; Pseudomonadati; Pseudomonadota; Gammaproteobacteria; Legionellales; Coxiellaceae. The record is from RNAcentral.